Triticum urartu is the source of this 242-nucleotide non-coding RNA. Lineage: Eukaryota; Viridiplantae; Streptophyta; Magnoliopsida; Poales; Poaceae. The record is from Rfam.
CACCAUGAUCUUGCGUGUGCGUAGGAAUUUUUUUGAAAUUACUGCGUUCCCCUACAACUUUGCCUACAGUUAACCAAAGGGUGAACACACGUGCUACAGUGGCAAUGACAAUGGGAAGCAAGGCUGUAAGGCGGAGCGAAUCCGGAAAGAUUGCCUCAGUUCGGAUUGUUCUCUGCAACUCGGGAACAUGAAGUUGAAAUCGCUAGUAAUCGCGGAUCAGCAUGCCACGGUGAAUAUGUACC